CUGGCGGCGUGCCUAAUACAUGCAAGUCGAGCGGACCGACGGGAGCUUGCUCCCUUAGGUCAGCGGCGGACGGGUGAGUAACACGUGGGUAACCUGCCUGUAAGACUGGGAUAACUCCGGGAAACCGGGGCUAAUACCGGAUGCUUGAUUGAACCGCAUGGUUCAAUCAUAAAAGGUGGCUUUUAGCUACCACUUACAGAUGGACCCGCGGCGCAUUAGCUAGUUGGUGAGGUAACGGCUCACCAAGGCGACGAUGCGUAGCCGACCUGAGAGGGUGAUCGGCCACACUGGGACUGAGACACGGCCCAG
RNAcentral lists this ribosomal RNA (309 nucleotides) under Bacillus licheniformis. RNAcentral's name for it is "bacterial SSU rRNA". It matches the Rfam family "Bacterial small subunit ribosomal RNA", at positions 36 to 334 of the family's 1533-position model. The record is from RNAcentral. Lineage: Bacteria; Bacillati; Bacillota; Bacilli; Caryophanales; Bacillaceae.